This 481-nucleotide ribosomal RNA is filed under the name uncultured bacterium. RNAcentral describes it as "partial 16S ribosomal RNA". It matches the Rfam family "Bacterial small subunit ribosomal RNA", at positions 28 to 507 of the family's 1533-position model. The record is from RNAcentral.
GACGAACGCUGGCGGCGUGCUUAACACAUGCAAGUCGAACGGGAUCCGGGCUUUCGGGUUUGGUGAGAGUGGCGAACGGGUGAGUAACACGUGAGUAACCUGCCCCCUUCUUUGGGAUAACGUCGGGAAAUCGGCGCUAAUACUGGAUAUUCUUGCUGCAUCGCAUGGUGUGGUUUGGAAAGGGUUUCUGGUGGGGGAUGGGCUCGCGGCCUAUCAGCUUGUUGGUGGGGUGAUGGCCUACCAAGGCUUUGACGGGUAGCCGGCCUGGGAGGGUGUCCGGGCACACUGGGACUGAGACACGGCCCAGACUCCUACGGGAGGCAGCAGUGGGGAAUAUUGCGCAAUGGGCGCAAGCCUGAUGCAGCGACGCCGCGUGAGGGAUGACGGCCUUCGGGUUGUAGACCUCUUUCAGUAUGGAACAAGGAUCCUUCUUUUGGGGGGUUUGAGGGUACGUGCAGAAGAAGCGCCGGCUAACUACGUG